Molecule: ribosomal RNA, 408 nt
Filed under: uncultured bacterium
Lineage: Bacteria
Description: partial 16S ribosomal RNA
Rfam family: Bacterial small subunit ribosomal RNA
Source: RNAcentral
UGGGGAAUAUUGCACAAUGGGCGAAAGCCUGAUGCAGCGACGCCGCGUGAGGGAUGACGGCCUUCGGGUUGUAAACCUCUUUCAGCAGGGAAGAAGCCACAGGUGACGGUACCUGCAGAAGAAGCGCCGGCUAACUACGUGCCAGCAGCCGCGGUAAUACGUAGGGCGCAAGCGUUGUCCGGAAUUAUUGGGCGUAAAGAGCUCGUAGGCGGUUUGUCGCGUCUGCUGUGAAAGCCCGGGGCUUAACCCCGGGUGUGCAGUGGGUACGGGCAGACUAGAGUGCAGUAGGGGAGACUGGAAUUCCUGGUGUAGCGGUGGAAUGCGCAGAUAUCAGGAGGAACACCGAUGGCGAAGGCAGGUCUCUGGGCUGUUACUGACGCUGAGGAGCGAAAGCAUGGGGAGCGAACA